RNAcentral lists this microRNA (22 nucleotides) under Capitella teleta. RNAcentral describes it as "cte-miR-96". Its record names the gene cte-miR-96. The record is from miRBase by way of RNAcentral. Lineage: Eukaryota; Metazoa; Annelida; Polychaeta; Capitellidae.
CUUGGCACUGGCGGAAUUAUCA